CUACCCCUUAGGCCCUGAACCUCUGUCCCGUAGUCACAUCUUCGAACCGGAGCGUCAGUAGGCCUUCUUUGCACAUGUCCAAACCACCAUAACCGAUUUUCUCUCAUUUUUCCUUCAAUUUCGGCUACUCCUACUUUACCUCGGAUAUCCUAAUUCCUAAUCUUAUCGUUUCUCGUGUGCCCACACAUCCAACGAAGCAUCCUCAUCUCCGCUACACCCAUUUUGUGUACGUGUUGAUGCUUCACCGCCCAACAUUCUGUGCUAUACAGCAUCGCCG
Molecule: long non-coding RNA, 277 nt
Filed under: Malus domestica (apple)
Lineage: Eukaryota; Viridiplantae; Streptophyta; Magnoliopsida; Rosales; Rosaceae
Description: long non-coding RNA (MDOM_LNC012402)
Source: RNAcentral